This 253-nucleotide ribosomal RNA is filed under the name uncultured bacterium. RNAcentral describes it as "partial 16S ribosomal RNA". It matches the Rfam family "Bacterial small subunit ribosomal RNA", at positions 524 to 776 of the family's 1533-position model. The record is from RNAcentral.
UACGAAGGGGGCUAGCGUUGCUCGGAAUUACUGGGCGUAAAGGGCGCGUAGGCGGAUAGUUUAGUCAGAGGUAAAAGCCCAGGGCUCAACCUUGGAACUGCCUUUGAUACUGGCUAUCUUGAGUUCGGGAGAGGUGAGUGGAAUGCCGAGUGUAGAGGUGAAAUUCGUAGAUAUUCGGCGGAACACCAGUGGCGAAGGCGACUCACUGGCCCGAUACUGACGCUGGGGCGCGAAAGCGUGGGGAGCAAACAGG